GGCUUCCUCCCCCUGCAAUCGGGGCUCUCAGUUCAGCUUGGUGGGUGAAUGCCAUAAUUCUUCCUUGCUGAUUGCUCUGGGAGCCUGAUCUUAAGCCUGACUAAAGACUCUUUGUUCUUGCAUGCUCUCUGGACUCCGUGGUGAUUCUUGGGGACCCGUCCACGGGACACAACAUUUGGGGGCUCACCUGGGAUCCCUAAGACCACCCCCCCAUGGGACCCCAGAGCGUUGAGUCUGCCUGAUCCGAUCGGUGAGUGUCUCUUGUCUUUGUGUCUUUUGUAUUUGCACAUGUCUGGUUUUUGGGCCCAGUUUGAGAUUGCCUCUUGGAGGUCUAGGCAGAUGCGCUGGAAGGGCCCAGGCCGUGGGACUUGGGAGAUGUCCCAGACCCACCUGGUGGGGAUUGGCUCCCCUUGGUAAAUUUGGAAGGACGGAGUGGGUCGCGCCCACCAGGAGGCGAGAGGCCAUCGUCCUAUUUUCAGUUUAAGGCACCAACUAACCGUGUGUUGUUUUUCUGUGUGUUUGUGCUUUUUGUUGUGUUUGUGACUCUUACUGCAUUUAGAAGAGAUGGGACAGAACCAAGUAACUCCUCUUAGCCUUUUCCAGGAUCACUUCUCGGAGUUCAAAGCCCAGGCUGAUAGCCUGGGGUUAAGAGUAAAGAAAAGGAAGCUCUUUAUGUUUUGCAGGAAUGAAUGGCUGACCUUUGGGGCCGGUUGGCCUGAAGAAGGGACUUCGACCUGCCCACCAUCUACAGAGUGAAGGAUAUAAUUUAUGGCCAUCCAGGCCACCCUGAUCAGGUCCCUUACAUCACGACUUGGCAGUUUAUGGUGGAGGAGCCUCCAAAAUGCUUUUGCAGGUCCUGUUCACCACUGAGGAGAGAGACCGGAUUCAAGUUGAAGCCUGCAAAUUGGUCCCUGGGAUGGAUGGGAAUCCUACCACCAACCAGGCCCUGAUUGAUGAAGCUUUCCCCCUAGCUAGACCAAACUGGGACUUCAAUACGGCUGAAGAAAUUGGACAGACUGGCUGAUAAAACCUUGCCAGAACUUCUGGCGGUGGCUGAGAAAGUUUACAAUCACCGAGAGAGUCCUCAGGACAAACAGGCCCAGGUCACUGCCGCUGCCAGCGCCAAGCAGACCCGUGACUUUGCCAAGAUUCUCCUGGCCACGUUGACCAGGUCCCUGGGUGAAAGAGAAUGCCAGCUGUGACGCCUAUCUGCUGAACAAGUUGCGUCAUUCCCUAGAAGUGGUGGCUCAGGCACAUAGGGACAUAUGGCCCCAGCUGAAAGCUAUGAGACUGCUCCACCUCCUACCCCGCACAAAUACCAGCCUGGCGAUUGGGUCUACAUUCGCAGACACUGCCAAGAGACCUUGGAACCUCGCUGGAAAGGACCAUAUGUAGUGCUCCUGACAACCCCAACUGCAGUAAAGGUAGACGGAGUUGCCACCUGUAUUUAUCACACCCACAUCCGACUAGCAAGUUCCUACCCAGACCCAGACAAUCGUCACCCUCCGCUGACCUCUACGCCGGACCCUACAACAUGGAAGGUCCACAAGGAUGCAGACAAUCCCCUCAAGCUAAGGCUGUGCCGCUCUUGAUGUUUACCCUGCUGUUUGGAAUUAACUAUGUAUAACUGCUAACCCUCAUCGACCUUACAAUCUCACCUGGCAGCUCCUGGACACCUCUACUUGGAGACAUCUUGGUCCAGACAUCCAAGAUUGCCCCACUAAACACCUGGUACCCAGAGCUAGGCUUCGACAUCUACCACCUCUUGCUCUCUGGACAGAGCCAUUGGGGGCUGCGUCAUGCUUACUACUAUGUCUGUCCUGGGAGCAGAGGAAGAGACUGGGGGAAACAAUGUGGGGGAGCCAGUGAUUAUUUUUGUAAAUCCUGGGACUGUGUGAGCAUGGGAGACAUCUAUUGGACAGCCCCUGUUAAAGAUGAUCUUAUCAAGGUUGUCCGUAACAACACCCUCGAUGCCAUUUAUCGUGGGCAGAGGGUUAGAACAUGUCCUAUGAAAACAGGCUGCAACCCUGUUAAGGUGGUGUUUACUGAUGCAGGAAAAAGAGACACCACUUGGGAGGUAGGGAAAACCUGAGGAUUGAGAACUCUCAACCCAAGCCCAGGGGGGUUCUUCACUGUCAUCCUCAGAAAGGAAACCCCCACCUCUCUGAUACCCCAAGGUGUUGGCCCCCAUCCAGUCUUAGUGCCCCUAGAACCCAACUCCAGCCCUAAGCGCCCACCUCCAAGGGAAAGUACAACAGUCUUUGGGAGAGCAGCAGUAGCCACGGAGACACCUACAGCUUCACCCUCAGACCACCCUAUUUGGCCGCUGGUCACCUCCACUUUUGAGGUGCUCAAUGCCUCCAAGCCAAACCUAACUGUGGAGUGCUGGCUCUGUUAGAGUGCCCAGCCACCCUUCUAUGUGGGCAUAGCUGUAAUAGGUAAUUACUCCCAAGUUAAUAGUAACCAAUGCACCUGGGGACAGCAAGGAAAACUCUCUCCAACAAGUAACUGGGGCAGGGACCUGUGCCCUGCCCCCUGGUGCCCAGGUCCCGCCAGGGCUAUGUAACCAUGUAGUCUCUGUUUCAAAUGAUACUUAGUACUCUGCCACUGUUGGAUGGUGGGCUUGUUCUACUGGUUUGACCCCCUGCAUUCAGGGGACCGUCCCUAAUAACAAGAAAGGUUACUGUGUCAUGGUACAGUUAUUCCCCAUGAUGACUUACUACGAGGAGACCCAGAUGGAACUAGCCUACGCACCCCUUUCUGCCCCCAGAACUAAGAGAGCCAUGGGGCAGCAGCCAUUUUGUUAUCCUCCUUGAUUGGUCCAGGUAUAGCUGGAGCAACUGGAGUGGGCACCUCAGCCUUAAUUUUACAGGACCAAAACUACAAAGCUCUCCAGGUAGCAAUUGAUGUAGACCUCAGGAGUCUGGAACAGUCUGUAACUAAAUUAGAACAAUCUCUAAACUCAUUUGCUGAGCUCACCUUACAGAAGAGGUCUUGACCUCCUUCUUAUGCAACAAGGGGGCUUGUGUGCAGCCUUAAAAGAAGAAUGCUGCUUUUGUGCUAACCAUUCUGGUGUGAUUAGAGAUUCUAGGGCUCUGCUCGGGAAACUUAUCAA
Long non-coding RNA from Nannospalax galili (Upper Galilee mountains blind mole rat), 3115 nucleotides. RefSeq lists it as uncharacterized. Lineage: Eukaryota; Metazoa; Chordata; Mammalia; Rodentia; Spalacidae. The record is from RefSeq and is a predicted model, not a curated record. The transcript is spliced from 4 exons.